Urocitellus parryii (Arctic ground squirrel) is the source of this 823-nucleotide non-coding RNA. Lineage: Eukaryota; Metazoa; Chordata; Mammalia; Rodentia; Sciuridae. The record is from RefSeq and is a predicted model, not a curated record.
UGCGGACCCAGAGCGGCGGCCGCAGAUCCAGGCGCCAUGGCUGCGGAGCGGACCCCGCCGCUGCGAGGCUCUGGCGGCCCGAGCGCGCCUACUCGGUGUGAGCCCGGCGCGAGGUCCCGGGCCCCGGGGCGCUCGCUCAGGUAAAUUUUUCCAUAACCUUAUGGAGAGAAAGGACUUUGAGACAUGGCUUGAUAACAUUUCUGUUACGUUUCUUUCUCUGACGGACUUGCAGAAAAAUGAAACUCUGGAUYACCUGAUUAGUCUGAGUGGGGCAGUCCAGCUCAGGCAUCUCUCCAAUAACCUGGAGACUCUCCUCAAGCGAGACUUCCWCAAACUCCUUCCCUUGGAGCUCAGUUUUUAUUUGUUAAAAUGGCUUGAUCCUCAGACUUUACUCACAUGCUGCCUCGUCUCUAAACAGUGGAAUAAGGUGAUAAGUGCCUGUACAGAGGUGUGGCAGACUGCUUGUAAAAAUUUGGGCUGGCAGAUAGAUGAUUCUGUUCAGGACGCUUUGCACUGGAAGAAGGUUUAUUUGAAGACUAUUUUAAGAAUGAAGCAACUGGAGGACCAUGAAGCCUUUGAGACCUCAUCAUUAAUUGGACACAGUGCCAGAGUGUAUGCACUUUACUACAAAGAUGGACUUCUCUGUACAGGGUCAGAUGACUUGUCUGCAAAGCUGUGGGAUGUGAGCACAGGGCAGUGCGUUUAUGGCAUCCAGACCCACACUUGUGCAGCGGUGAACAACAAAGCAGGUCUUCUUUUGAAACCCUUCAAAGCCUUGCCCAUUGAAUCCAGAAUAAAACUCAACCUCAUUAUCAUGGCUUGA